RNAcentral lists this ribosomal RNA (547 nucleotides) under Bacillus sp. LBRN-NC03. RNAcentral's name for it is "bacterial SSU rRNA". It matches the Rfam family "Bacterial small subunit ribosomal RNA", at positions 339 to 876 of the family's 1533-position model. Lineage: Bacteria; Bacillati; Bacillota; Bacilli; Caryophanales; Bacillaceae. The record is from RNAcentral.
CUACGGGAGGCAGCAGUAGGGAAUCUUCCGCAAUGGACGAAAGUCUGACGGAGCAACGCCGCGUGAGUGAUGAAGGCUUUCGGGUCGUAAAACUCUGUUGUUAGGGAAGAACAAGUGCUAGUUGAAUAAGCUGGCACCUUGACGGUACCUAACCAGAAAGCCACGGCUAACUACGUGCCAGCAGCCGCGGUAAUACGUAGGUGGCAAGCGUUAUCCGGAAUUAUUGGGCGUAAAGCGCGCGCAGGUGGUUUCUUAAGUCUGAUGUGAAAGCCCACGGCUCAACCGUGGAGGGUCAUUGGAAACUGGGAGACUUGAGUGCAGAAGAGGAAAGUGGAAUUCCAUGUGUAGCGGUGAAAUGCGUAGAGAUAUGGAGGAACACCAGUGGCGAAGGCGACUUUCUGGUCUGUAACUGACACUGAGGCGCGAAAGCGUGGGGAGCAAACAGGAUUAGAUACCCUGGUAGUCCACGCCGUAAACGAUGAGUGCUAAGUGUUAGAGGGUUUCCGCCCUUUAGUGCUGAAGUUAACGCAUUAAGCACUCCGCCUGG